GGGCCGCACGCGCGCUACACUGACGGAGCCAGCGAGUACUAUNNNNCCUUGGCCGAGAGGUCNCGGGUAAUCUUGUGAAACUCCGUCGUGCUGGGGAUAGAGCAUUGCAAUUAUUGCUCUUCAACGAGGAAUUCCUAGUAAGCGCAAGUCAUCAGCUUGCGUUGAUUACGUCCC
RNAcentral lists this ribosomal RNA (174 nucleotides) under Ambrosiozyma platypodis. RNAcentral's name for it is "partial 18S ribosomal RNA". It matches the Rfam family "Eukaryotic small subunit ribosomal RNA", at positions 1484 to 1653 of the family's 1831-position model. The record is from RNAcentral. RNAcentral also lists the same sequence under 2 other names. Lineage: Eukaryota; Fungi; Ascomycota; Pichiomycetes; Pichiales; Pichiaceae.